Molecule: ribosomal RNA, 207 nt
Filed under: uncultured bacterium
Lineage: Bacteria
Description: partial 16S ribosomal RNA
Rfam family: Bacterial small subunit ribosomal RNA
Source: RNAcentral
CGCGUAGGCGGCACGGUAAGUCGGGAGUGAAAGCCCGGGGCUCAACCCCGGAACGUCUUUCGAAACUGCCGAGCUAGAGUGCGGAAGAGGCAACUGGAAUUCCCAGUGUAGCGGUGAAAUGCGUAGAUAUUGGGAAGAACACCUGAGGCGAAGGCGGGUUGCUGGGCCGACACUGACGCUGAGGCGCGAAAGCCAGGGGAGCGAACG